This 2301-nucleotide ribosomal RNA is filed under the name hot springs metagenome. RNAcentral's name for it is "bacterial LSU rRNA". It matches the Rfam family "Bacterial large subunit ribosomal RNA", at positions 640 to 2925 of the family's 2925-position model. The record is from RNAcentral.
GCGAGGUUAAGCCUCUUUGAGGCGGAGCCGGAGCGAAAGCGAGUCCUAAUUGGGCGUUUAGUCGCGCGCAUUCGACCCGAAACCCGUGUGAGCUACCCAUGGCCAGGUUGAACUUGGGGUAACACCCAAGGGAGGACCGAACCGGUGGCCCUUGCAAUAGCCUCGGAUGAGCUGUGGGUAGGAGUGAAAGGCUAACCAAACCGGGUGAUAGCUGGUUCUCCCCGAAAUGCCUUUAGGGGCAGUCUCGCAAGUUCAGUUACGGAGGUAGAGCACUGAACGGGCGCUCUCCCACAAUGUGGGGGAAAACCCGAUCAAACUCCGAAUGCCGUAACUUGAGAUUGCGGGAAAGAGGCUGUGAGCUCUAAGGUCCACGGCCGAGAGGGGAAUAACCCAGACCACAGGCUAAGGUCCCUAAGUGUAUGCUAAGUGGGAAAAGAGGUGAGGUUACUCAGACAGCUGGGAUGUUGGCUUAGAAGCAGCAAUCAUUUAAAGAGUGCGUAACAGCUCACCAGUCGAGUGGCCUUGCACUGAAAAUUCACCGGGGCUCAAGCAUACCACCGAAGCCGUGGACUUCUGUCUUUACAGACAGGAGUGGUAGGGGAGCGUUCUGCGGUAGGUCGAAGCCAGACCGCGAGGUCUGGUGGACGAAGCAGAAGUGAUUAUGCCGGGACGAGUAGCGUUAAAACAGGUGAAAAACCUGUUCGCCGAAAACCCAAGGGUUCCUGGGGAAGGUUAAUCCGCCCAGGGUUAGUCGGGACCUAAGCUGAGGCCGAAAGGCGUAGGCGAUGGACAUCCGGUCAACAUUCCGGAACCACCUUGACAUCGUUACGAGCUAUGGGGGGACGCAGGCGGAAGGGCUCAGCCCCGUGCUGGAUCGGGGUCUAAACCAUUGUGAUGGUGCGCAGGAAAAUCCGUGCACAGGAGUCGCAGGGGUGAUGGGGACUCUGCCGUCAGGUAGAGGAACUGAGCCGGACCGACUGCCGAGAAAAGCCUCUAUGCCAGAUGUCAGGGUGACCGUACCGUAAACCGACACUGGUGGGUGAGGAGAAUAUCCAAAGGCGCUCGGGUGAGCUCUCGUUAAGGAACUCGGCAAUCUAGCCCCGUAACUUCGGGAUAAGGGGUGCCACCGCAAGGUGGCCGCAGUGAAGAGGCUCUACCGACUGUUUAACAAAAACACAGGUCUCUGCUAAGCCGUAAGGCGAAGUAUAGGGACUGACACCUGCCCGGUGCCGGAAGGUUAAGGGAGGGGGUCAGCCGCAAGGCGAAGCUCCCGACCGAAGCCCCGGUAAACGGCGGCCGUAACUAUAACGGUCCUAAGGUAGCGAAAUUCCUUGUCGGGUAAGUUCCGACCCGCACGAAUGGUGUAACGAGUGGAGCGCUGUCUUAACGAGAAGCCCGGCGAAACUGUAGUGGCGGUGAAGAUGCCGCCUGCCCGCGAUUGGACAAAAAGACCCCGUGAACCUUUACUACAGCUUGUCAUUGGAUUCUGGCCGGACAUGUGUAGGAUAGGUGGGAGGCUUUGAGGCCCGAACGCCAGUUCGGGCGGAGCCGUCGGUGAAAUACCACCCUUGUUCUGUUGGGGUUCUAACACUGUACCCUGAUCGGGGCGGUGGACAGUGGCAGGCGGGUAGUUUGACUGGGGCGGUCGCCUCCUAAAAGGUAACGGAGGUGCUCAAAGGUCAGCUCAGCACGGACGGCAACCGUGUGGGGAGUGCAAGGGCAUAAGCUGGCCUGACUGCGAGACCGACAGGUCGAGCAGAGACGAAAGUCGGACCUAGUGAUCCUGUGGCUCUGCGUGGAAGGGCCAUAGCUCAACGGAUAAAAGGUACUCCGGGGAUAACAGGCUGAUCGGGCCCGAGAGUUCACAUCGACGGCCCGGUUUGGCACCUCGAUGUCGGCUCAUCGCAUCCUGGGGCUGGACAAGGUCCCAAGGGUUGGUCUGUUCGCCCAUUAAAGCGGUACGUGAGCUGGGUUCAGAACGUCGUGAGACAGUUCGGACUCUAUCCAUCGUGGGCGCAGGAGACUUGAGGGAUGCUGCCCAUAGUACGAGAGGACCUGGGUGGACGCACCUCUGAUGUACGAGCUGUCCUGCCAAGGGCACCGCUCGGUAGUCAAGUGCGGCAGGGAUAACCGCUGAAGGCAUCUAAGCGGGAAGCCCUUCCCAAGAUUAGGUCUCCCGUGUGAGCACCGCAAGGUGCCUCACCCUGAAGGCCCCUGGUAGACUACCAGGUUGAUAGGCCACAGGUGUAAGCCCGGUAACGGGUUCAGCCGAGUGGUCCUAAUCGGCCGUGCGGCUUGAGU